RNAcentral lists this ribosomal RNA (156 nucleotides) under Triticum aestivum (bread wheat). RNAcentral's name for it is "partial small subunit ribosomal RNA". The record is from RNAcentral. Lineage: Eukaryota; Viridiplantae; Streptophyta; Magnoliopsida; Poales; Poaceae.
AUGAUUAAAGGAGAAGAUUGUUCUUUUACCAAACAUAUGUAGAUCAAACGUCUUAUAAUAAGAAGAAAUCUUUCUCGGUAUCAAUCCCCUUGCCCCUCAUUCUUUGAGAAUCAGAAGGAUCAUUUUCGAGUUCCCAUUUAUUCAUUUGGAAUCUAG